UUUAUGGAGAGUUUGAUCCUGGCUCAGGAUGAACGCUGGCGGCGUGCCUAAUACAUGCAAGUCGAGCGAACAGACAAGGAGCUUGCUCCUUUGACGUUAGCGGCGGACGGGUGAGUAACACGUGGGUAACCUACCUAUAAGACUGGGAUAACUUCGGGAAACCGGAGCUAAUACCGGAUAAUAUUUCGAACCGCAUGGUUCGAUAGUGAAAGAUGGUUUUGCUAUCACUUAUAGAUGGACCCGCGCCGUAUUAGCUAGUUGGUAAGGUAACGGCUUACCAAGGCGACGAUACGUAGCCGACCUGAGAGGGUGAUCGGCCACACUGGAACUGAGACACGGUCCAGACUCCUACGGGAGGCAGCAGUAGGGAAUCUUCCGCAAUGGGCGAAAGCCUGACGGAGCAACGCCGCGUGAGUGAUGAAGGUCUUCGGAUCGUAAAACUCUGUUAUUAGGGAAGAACAUACGUGUAAGUAACUAUGCACGUCUUGACGGUACCUAAUCAGAAAGCCACGGCUAACUACGUGCCAGCAGCCGCGGUAAUACGUAGGUGGCAAGCGUUAUCCGGAAUUAUUGGGCGUAAAGCGCGCGUAGGCGGUUUUUUAAGUCUGAUGUGAAAGCCCACGGCUCAACCGUGGAGGGUCAUUGGAAACUGGAAAACUUGAGUGCAGAAGAGGAAAGUGGAAUUCCAUGUGUAGCGGUGAAAUGCGCAGAGAUAUGGAGGAACACCAGUGGCGAAGGCGACUUUCUGGUCUGUAACUGACGCUGAUGUGCGAAAGCGUGGGGAUCAAACAGGAUUAGAUACCCUGGUAGUCCACGCCGUAAACGAUGAGUGCUAAGUGUUAGGGGGUUUCCGCCCCUUAGUGCUGCAGCUAACGCAUUAAGCACUCCGCCUGGGGAGUACGACCGCAAGGUUGAAACUCAAAGGAAUUGACGGGGACCCGCACAAGCGGUGGAGCAUGUGGUUUAAUUCGAAGCAACGCGAAGAACCUUACCAAAUCUUGACAUCCUUUGACAACUCUAGAGAUAGAGCUUUCCCCUUCGGGGGACAAAGUGACAGGUGGUGCAUGGUUGUCGUCAGCUCGUGUCGUGAGAUGUUGGGUUAAGUCCCGCAACGAGCGCAACCCUUAAGCUUAGUUGCCAUCAUUAAGUUGGGCACUCUAAGUUGACUGCCGGUGACAAACCGGAGGAAGGUGGGGAUGACGUCAAAUCAUCAUGCCCCUUAUGAUUUGGGCUACACACGUGCUACAAUGGACAAUACAAAGGGUAGCGAAACCGCGAGGUCAAGCAAAUCCCAUAAAGUUGUUCUCAGUUCGGAUUGUAGUCUGCAACUCGACUACAUGAAGCUGGAAUCGCUAGUAAUCGUAGAUCAGCAUGCUACGGUGAAUACGUUCCCGGGUCUUGUACACACCGCCCGUCACACCACGAGAGUUUGUAACACCCGAAGCCGGUGGAGUAACCAUUUGGAGCUAGCCGUCGAAGGUGGGACAAAUGAUUGGGGUGAAGUCGUAACAAGGUAGCCGUAUCGGAAGGUGCGGCUGGAUCACCUCCUUU
Molecule: ribosomal RNA, 1551 nt
Filed under: Staphylococcus haemolyticus
Lineage: Bacteria; Bacillati; Bacillota; Bacilli; Caryophanales; Staphylococcaceae
Description: bacterial SSU rRNA
Rfam family: Bacterial small subunit ribosomal RNA
Source: RNAcentral